GUGGGGUCCUCUUCCUGGUGAGUAGA
RNAcentral lists this non-coding RNA (26 nucleotides) under Homo sapiens (human). The record is from RNAcentral. Lineage: Eukaryota; Metazoa; Chordata; Mammalia; Primates; Hominidae.